This is a non-coding RNA of Cinara cedri, 214 nucleotides long. The record is from the annotation of a GenBank genome assembly. NCBI's taxonomy places the organism in Eukaryota, Metazoa, Arthropoda, Insecta, Hemiptera, Aphididae.
UAUUAAAGUAGAUUGGUCGUACCAUGAGAAAGGGGUGAUGGAGAAUUCUUUAGCAAAGAAAUUCACCCUAUAGUCGUUGACCCUACUUUGUGAUAAUAAAAGUCAUUUAGCUAUGAAAUUUCAAAUGGGGGAAACAAACCGGAGAGUGGAUUUAAUACGACAAAGUAUAUACCGACUGUAAGGAUGCGUUUUAAUUUCCGGCUUGAGUCUUUUU